RNAcentral lists this small RNA (232 nucleotides) under Frankia sp. AcoPraII.1. RNAcentral describes it as "ydaO-yuaA". It matches the Rfam family "c-di-AMP riboswitch aptamer (ydaO/yuaA leader)". Rfam says of the family: This family represents a conserved RNA structure found upstream of the ydaO and yuaA genes in Bacillus subtilis and related genes in other bacteria. The ydaO/yuaA element is thought to act as a genetic "off" switch for the ydaO and yuaA genes in its native state. Lineage: Bacteria; Bacillati; Actinomycetota; Actinomycetes; Frankiales; Frankiaceae. The record is from RNAcentral.
UCGGGCGGCACGCCGAAUCCUGCCCCCGACCGGCGAUUUCUCCGUCACCAUGUGGCAGGAACGGGGGAACCAUCUCCGAGCAUCGAAAGGAUUCGAUGCUCUAGGGGUGAAGUCAUGCGUCGCCAGACCGACCGUGGUUUCGGUCUGUGCGCGUCCCAGGAUGUCCCUGGCAUGACCGGGCAGUUCCCAGCCCGAAUCCGACAGCUCACCUCGCAGGCGUGGGGAAGGACUA